GAAAGAGGCCGGAGGCAUUAAAGACUGCUAAUCUUUAGCGCCAUGGUUAAACUCCAUGGCUCAUUCA
This 67-nucleotide transfer RNA is filed under the name Heteropneustes fossilis (stinging catfish). Its description in RNAcentral is "tRNA-Ser (AGY)". Lineage: Eukaryota; Metazoa; Chordata; Actinopteri; Siluriformes; Heteropneustidae. The record is from RNAcentral.